RNAcentral lists this long non-coding RNA (221 nucleotides) under Lathyrus oleraceus (garden pea). RNAcentral's name for it is "Pisum sativum (pea) long non-coding RNA (PSAT_LNC039038)". Lineage: Eukaryota; Viridiplantae; Streptophyta; Magnoliopsida; Fabales; Fabaceae. The record is from RNAcentral.
UUUUAUAUUGUGAAAACAAACAUCUAGAAAAGUAAAUUAACACACGUGAUUAUCACGCGGCAAAAUACAUGCCAGAAGUGAAACCCCAGCGACUGCAGUGACUAUUUUACCCUCAGCACACCAAUGCAUUAGACAAAAAGACUAGGGCAAAAAAAGUAAAGAAAGAAGCUAAACUUCCUCAGUCACAUCAAUAUAAACCUGACAAGACACCUGAAUGUUCG